CUGACACUGAAGUGGUUUCUAAAAGCUCCUGACAGAGCUGAAGCCUAUGCUAGGUGCCACACACGGUUUAGGAACAUUCCUAAACACAGUAAGGAGGAAGAAGGAAUAGAUGGAUGCUUGUGUGGGCAGCGCUGCCGUCUAGCUUGCUAGGCACAGCAUUAUCAGGACUCUGUGUGGCAGCCAGCGUAAGUUUGGUUUGGUUUGUUGUUAUUUCUCUGUGUGUAACUGUUUCUUGUUCCUAGGAUCAGCGGGAUGCCACCAUUAGGAUCCUGCAGCCAUAGCAAGGUCUUGGUAAUUGGGAAAAGUUCCUGAUGAUUGAAGAAAGGACAAAUGUCAUUCUUGUUGUUAGGAAUGGCAGUGAGGAUCCAUGCAGCUACCAGCUGGUCAGCCUUAACUCAGUCCCUGAAGAGUGGACAGCACAUCCUUCUGGAAGCUAUUUCAAAGCAUGUGAAGGACAAGAAAAUGACUGGGAACAGCCAUCAGGGAUUUACCAAUGACCAACCUUCUACAGUGAAGCAACAGCCUGGGUGGACAACAGGAGGGCGCUUGGUGUUGUAUUGAUUGAUAGUAGCCUUGACUUUGUCGUGACAUGGUCUCCCAGCGGUCUACUUGUAGCCAAGUUGGUGACAUUUGGACUGGGUAAGUGGAGUGUGAAGUGAGUGAGAAACGGGGUGGAUGGUUGGGCUGAAGGGGUCAUAUCAGCUAUAUGCAGCCCAACUGGCAACUAGCUGCUAUGGGGUCCUUCGGGAAAGGGGCCUCCCUCUCAGUAGCAAGGUGCUGGCAACACAACUGCAUGAAGAUGUGUCUGUUGCCACCAGAAGCUGGAGGGUGUGUGUGUGUGAAUAAGGCAGCUUGGAGGAAAUCCUGCUGAGAGGGCUCUUGACUUCAUUACCUAUUAACCUACAUUUCCUCCUCCUGUUUCACCGGUGAUGAAGCCUAAAUGCAAAACCUGCUAUUGACAAGUGUAUGGGAUAUGUGUCUGGUCAUUGGAGUUUUCAGCAGAAGCAUCUGGCUGCUGCUGGGAAUUCCUCACCUCUGAGUGACAAGAGCUACUGAGCACCUGUAGCCGGGUUGGCAUAGUGGAGGUUGUAUGGGAACCGUGCCUACAGCCACCCCUCCUGGCAUUCCUUCAUGGGCUCUUAAGGUUUACUGCAGAGGGAGUAGUCUUACACAUACAACAUUUGCUCCUCCAUCUCUGCAUUGACACAGAUGAUCACUGCAGAGACCACAGACACGUUCUGUUAUGGGAUGGAGGAUUCCAGACAGAAAGUACCAAAUGGGCAGGAAGUUCCCAGUUACAUGCACAGCACAGGGAUGCUGUCUGCGAGCUUUAUUUUAACGUGAUUGAUAAAUAUUGGGGAGCCACCUGAAUGGGAGUGCCCUUCAUGAAGACUGGCAUUAAUGGAGCAGAGGGAAGACCCAGCAGAGCCAGUUAUCAGGUGUGCUGUGGUAAAGCGUUUCCCACAUAAUGAGGGUGGCUUCAGGAUCCUGGAUCGAGCCGCUAUGUAAAUUCUCCCGUACAAGAUGAGGAGGAGCACAGUUGGGAUGUAAAAAGCUCCACAAGUGGAAUAAAUCGUGUAGGAAA
Molecule: long non-coding RNA, 1585 nt
Organism: Pezoporus flaviventris
Lineage: Eukaryota; Metazoa; Chordata; Aves; Psittaciformes; Psittacidae
Exons: 4
Source: RefSeq, a predicted model, not a curated record